UUUAUUAAGAAUUGUGGAGGGACUGGCCCUAAGAAAUCUAGCAACCUACUGUAUAUGUGUGGUGCUAAAUCUUGUAAAUAUUUGAGAAAUAA
RNAcentral lists this non-coding RNA (92 nucleotides) under Clostridium septicum. RNAcentral describes it as "SAM riboswitch (S box leader)". It matches the Rfam family "SAM riboswitch aptamer (S box leader)". From Rfam's summary of the family: The SAM riboswitch is found upstream of a number of genes which code for proteins involved in methionine or cysteine biosynthesis in Gram-positive bacteria. The SAM riboswitch acts at the level of transcription termination control. Lineage: Bacteria; Bacillati; Bacillota; Clostridia; Eubacteriales; Clostridiaceae. The record is from RNAcentral.